This 754-nucleotide ribosomal RNA is filed under the name uncultured Enterobacteriaceae bacterium. RNAcentral describes it as "bacterial SSU rRNA". It matches the Rfam family "Bacterial small subunit ribosomal RNA", at positions 747 to 1502 of the family's 1533-position model. Lineage: Bacteria; Pseudomonadati; Pseudomonadota; Gammaproteobacteria; Enterobacterales; Enterobacteriaceae. The record is from RNAcentral.
UGAGAUGCGAAAGCGUGGGGAGCAAACAGGAUUAGAUACCCUGGUAGUCCACGCUGUAACGAUGUCGAUUUGGAGUUUGUUGCCUAGAGUGAUGGGCUCCGAAGCUAACGCGAUAAAUCGACCGCCCGGGGAGUACGGCCGCAAGGUUAAAACUCAAAUAAAUUGACGGGGGCCCGCACAAGCGGUGGAGCAUGUGGUUUAAUUCGAUGCAACGCGAAGAACCUUACCUGGUCUUGACAUCCACAGAAUUCUGCAGAGAUGUGGGAGUGCCUUCGGGAACUAUGAGACAGGUGCUGCAUGGCUGUCGUCAGCUCGUGUUGUGAAAUGUUGGGUUAAGUCCCGCAACGAGCGCAACCCUUAUUCUUUGUUGCCAGCGAUUUGGUCGGGAACUCAAAGGAGACUGCCGUUGAUAAAGCGGAGGAAGGUGGGGACGACGUCAAGUCAUCAUGGCCCUUACGACCAGGGCUACACACGUGCUACAAUGGCGUAUACAAAGGGAAGCGAAGGUGCGAGCUGGAGCGGACCUCAUAAAGUGCGUCUAAGUUCGGAUUGGAGUCUGCAACUCGACUCCAUGAAGUCGGAAUCGCUAGUAAUCGUAGAUCAGAAUGCUACGGUGAAUACGUUCCCGGGCCUUGUACACACCGCCCGUCACACCGUGGGAGUGGGUUGCACCAGAAGUAGAUAGCUUAACCGCGAGGGGGGCGCUUACCACGGUGUGAUUCAUGACUGGGGUGAAGUCGUAACAAGGUAACCA